CUUAACUGAAUAGAGUUUAAUUAAUACCAACAUUCACGGAAUCCUUUGUCUCCCGAAACAGUGCCAUAUAGUCGAAGGACCACGAGCAUUGGAAUCUACAGACAUGCGUUCAAGCCCAAACCUGGCCUGUUCAUUUCGUGGCCCAGGACAAGUUAUAAGCUAAGGAUUACUGUGAAUGUGGAAUCAAAUUACAUACCACACUGCGAGCAAGGAGUGCCGUGCCACGCAGGGGUGCUCCCGCAUAGGGGAGCCCCACGCACAAGGAGUGCGCCCCGUAAGGAGAGCCGCCCAGCACAAAAGAAAGUGCAGCCUGCCCAGGAAUGGUGCCGUACACAUGGAGAGCUGACACAGCAAGAUGACGCAACAAAAAGAAAUACAGAUUCCUGUGCCGCUGAUAACAACAGAAGCAGACAAAGAAGAACACGCAGCAAAUGGACACAGAGAACAGACAACUUGGGUGGGGGGGAAGGGGAGAGAAAUAAACAAAAUAAAUCUUUUUUUAAAAAAUUACAUACCACACUAAAGCACCUAGCAGGUAUAUAGUAGGCAUAUAGUAACAUUCAGCAAAUGUUACAGUCCUUCCUCACAUUUCCAUCUUAACAUUCCCAUUUUUACAUGAGUAUGAUUAUCCUUUUUCUUGACCACCUAAAAAGCAUGUACCAAGAGACG
RNAcentral lists this long non-coding RNA (669 nucleotides) under Dasypus novemcinctus (nine-banded armadillo). RNAcentral describes it as "lncRNA (ENSDNOG00000050504.1)". Lineage: Eukaryota; Metazoa; Chordata; Mammalia; Cingulata; Dasypodidae. The record is from RNAcentral.